AUUGAACGCUGGCGGCAUGCCUUACACAUGCAAGUCGAACGGCAGCACGGGUGCUUGCACCUGGUGGCGAGUGGCGAACGGGUGAGUAAUACAUCGGAACGUACCUUAUCGUGGGGGAUAACGCAGCGAAAGUUGCGCUAAUCCCGCAUACGCCCUGAGGGGGAAAGCGGGGGACCGUAAGGCCUCGCGCGAUUAGAGCGGCCGAUGUCUGAUUAGCUUGUUGGUGAGGUAAAAGCUCACCAAGGCGAUGAUCAGUAGCUGGUCUGAGAGGACGAUCAGCCACACUGGGACUGAGACACGGCCCAGACUCCUACGGGAGGCAGCAGUGGGGAAUUUUGGACAAUGGGGGCAACCCUGAUCCAGCAAUGCCGCGUGGGUGAAGAAGGCCUUCGGGUUGUAAAGCUCUUUUGUCAGGGAAGAAACAGCAGCUCUAACACAGUCUGCGAAUGACGGUACCUGAAGAAUAAGCACCGGCUAACUACGUGCCAGCCGCCGCAGUAA
This 501-nucleotide ribosomal RNA is filed under the name uncultured bacterium. Its description in RNAcentral is "partial 16S ribosomal RNA". It matches the Rfam family "Bacterial small subunit ribosomal RNA", at positions 30 to 523 of the family's 1533-position model. The record is from RNAcentral.